RNAcentral lists this non-coding RNA (256 nucleotides) under Romboutsia lituseburensis. RNAcentral describes it as "T-box". It matches the Rfam family "T-box leader". From Rfam's summary of the family: Uncharged tRNA acts as the effector for transcription antitermination of genes in the T-box leader family. T-boxes are found upstream of many aminoacyl-tRNA synthetase genes and some amino acid biosynthetic genes usually in Gram-positive bacteria. The anticodon of a specific tRNA base pairs to a specifier sequence within the T-box motif, and the NCCA acceptor tail of the tRNA base pairs to a conserved bulge in the T-box antiterminator hairpin. The record is from RNAcentral. Lineage: Bacteria; Bacillati; Bacillota; Clostridia; Peptostreptococcales; Peptostreptococcaceae.
UUAAAAGCGUUGAUAAGAACAAGUAAAACUAAUGUAGUCUAACAGAGAGUUUCCGGUUGGUGAGAGGAGCAAGUUAAGUUAGUUUGAAUACAUCUUAGAGCAAUUUUUCUGAAAGAUAACAACCAGUAAGAAAAAUCGGAAUGGCACACGUUAUAGUGCAAAGGUAUAACCAAUUAUGGCGUACCUAAUAAGGUUAGUAUUGUGAAGUACUAAUAAAUUAAGGUGGUAACACGUGAGCAAUGCUCUCGUCCUUUUA